AACGAACGCUGGCGGCAUGCCUAACACAUGCAAGUCGAACGAGACCUUCGGGUCUAGUGGCGCUCGGGUGCGUAACGCGUGGGAACCUGCCCUUAGGUUCGGAAUAACUCCCCGAAAGGGGUGCUAAUACCGGAUAAUGUCUUCGGACCAAAGAUUUAUCGCCUUUGGAUGGGCCCGCGUUGGAUUAGCUAGUUGGUAGGGUAAAGCCUACCAAGGCGACGAUCCAUAGCUGGUCUGAGAGGAUGAUCAGCCACACUGGGACUGGGACACGGCCCAGACUCCUACGGGAGGCAGCAGUGGGGAAUAUUGGACAAUGGGCGAAAGCCUGAUCCAGCAAUGCCGCGUGAGUGAUGAAGGCCUUAGGGUUGUAAAGCUCUUUUACCCGGGAUGAUAAUGACAGUACCGGGAGAAUAAGCUCCGGCUAACUCCGUG
RNAcentral lists this ribosomal RNA (432 nucleotides) under uncultured bacterium. Its description in RNAcentral is "partial 16S ribosomal RNA". It matches the Rfam family "Bacterial small subunit ribosomal RNA", at positions 29 to 507 of the family's 1533-position model. The record is from RNAcentral.